Molecule: transfer RNA, 72 nt
Filed under: Canis lupus familiaris (dog)
Lineage: Eukaryota; Metazoa; Chordata; Mammalia; Carnivora; Canidae
Also listed under: 1 other name
Rfam family: tRNA
About the family: Transfer RNA (tRNA) molecules are approximately 80 nucleotides in length. Their secondary structure includes four short double-helical elements and three loops (D, anti-codon, and T loops).
Source: Rfam by way of RNAcentral
ACCUGGCUGUUCAGUCAGUAGAGCAUGAGACUUUUGAUCUCAGGGUCAUGAGUUUGAACCUCAUGUCAUGUU